RNAcentral lists this ribosomal RNA (443 nucleotides) under uncultured bacterium. RNAcentral describes it as "partial 16S ribosomal RNA". It matches the Rfam family "Bacterial small subunit ribosomal RNA", at positions 338 to 795 of the family's 1533-position model. The record is from RNAcentral.
CCUACGGGAGGCAGCAGUGGGGAAUAUUGGGCAAUGGAGGCAACUCUGACCCAGCAACGCCGCGUGAAUGAUGAAGGUCUUCGGAUUGUAAAGUUCUUUUCUAAGGGAAGAAGAAAGUGACGGUACCCCAAUAGCAAGCCACGGCUAACUACGUGCCAGCAGCCGCGGUAAUACGUAGGUGGCAAGCGUUAUCCGGAAUGACUGGGCGUAAAGGGUGCGUAGGUGGUUUAGUAAGUUGGCGGUGUAAUUCCGGGGCUCAACCUCGGCGCUACCGCCGAAACUUUUAGACUAGAGUGCAGGAAGGGUAAGUGGAAUUCCUAGUGUAGCGGUGGAAUGCGUAGAUAUUAGGAGGAACAUCAGGGGCGAAGGCGACUUACUGGACUGUAACUGACGCUGAGGCACGAAAGCGUGGGGAGCAAACAGGAUUAGAUACCCUAGUAGUC